UACGUAGGGGGCAAGCGUUAUCCGGAUUUACUGGGUGUAAAGGGAGCGUAGACGGUGAAGCAAGUCUGAAGUGAAAGGCGGGGGCCCAACCCCCGGACUGCUCUGGAAACUAUGUGACUGGAGUGCAGGAGAGGUGAGCGGAAUUCCUAGUGUAGCGGUGAAAUGCAUAGAUAUCACGCAGAACUCCGAUUGCGAAGGCAGCAUACCGGUGCACAACUGACGCUCAGGCACGAAAGCGUGGGUAUCGAACAGG
RNAcentral lists this ribosomal RNA (253 nucleotides) under uncultured bacterium. Its description in RNAcentral is "partial 16S ribosomal RNA". It matches the Rfam family "Bacterial small subunit ribosomal RNA", at positions 524 to 776 of the family's 1533-position model. The record is from RNAcentral.